Molecule: long non-coding RNA, 940 nt
Filed under: Erythranthe guttata (spotted monkey flower)
Lineage: Eukaryota; Viridiplantae; Streptophyta; Magnoliopsida; Lamiales; Phrymaceae
Description: long non-coding RNA (EGUT_LNC001494)
Source: RNAcentral
UUUGUAAUCAAUAAACCUUUACAAAAAUUUAACCGCAUGCCAAAAAUUCGUAUAAUUUUCCAAUACGAAUAUAAACACAUGCUAAAAAUCAUUCGGAUUCCCCAAAACAUGAAUUCUUGCUUUCCAAAAAUAUACAAUACCAAACUUCAAAAAAUCUAUCUUCAAAACAACACUUGAAGUAACCUACACAAUACAUUUACUUUCAAAGUCUACAUAUCCUUAGUUCAACAAAAUGUCCUUGCUCCCAUGCUCCAAUGUAAAAUGUGUUCCUGAACAAUCAAAGAAGAAAAAAAAGUUAGUGUUCCCGAGUAAGCAAAAUUCAUGUUUUUAAAGCAUAUAAAACUUGUUGUAUACAACUUUUUUUGUGCAAAAGACCAUGAAAUUCUAAAACCCCAGAAAAAGUGGUUUAGCACAUAUGACAAUGAGAACAAGAAAGUUUCUUUGAGAUUUUUUUUGAUAUUCGCCGAAGAAUGUUGCAACCCACAAUUACGAUGCUAACCUAACCUACAAAAUAAGAGACACCAGUGAGCUGCAAUGCAAGAACUUGCGCUUGCAUUAUAUCGUAAAAGCUACAGCUUGUACUAUGGAUAAAAACACCAACGAAAUACUAUAUGCUAUUUAUACCAUGAAUACAUUUAGCAGAAGGAAUACCUGGAUAUAAGCAUAUUGUCACUAGCAAUCCAAUAACUUUACUAGGUGAAACAGGACAUUUCGAUACAAUAGAGCAGGCUCUUUAUUGCUGCCAAUCUUUGAUCUUAAUCCCCUAAUCUGUAAAGUCCAUCAUAUAGUUUUCAGUGAUAAAGUAGCAGUCGGCAUAAAAAUUUUGAAAUCAGAUAGCAAGGCUGGAUAAAAUUAACUCAUCAUAUAUUUAUGAAAAGAUAUUGAAAUGGCGUAUGAUAUAUCAAACCAUUCCAACAACUGAACCAUGGAAAGCCCUCCA